UGGGGAAUAUUGCACAAUGGGCGCAAGCCUGAUGCAGCCAUGCCGCGUGUAUGAAGAAGGCCUUCGGGUUGUAAAGUACUUUCAGCGAGGAGGAAGGCAUUAAGGUUAAUAACCUUUGGGUGAUUUGACGUUUACUCGCAGAAGAAGCACCGGCUAACUCCGUGCCAGCAGCCGCGGUAAUACGGAGGGUGCAAGCGUUAAUCGGAAUUACUGGGCGUAAAGCGCACGCAGGCGGUCUGUCAAGUCGGAUGUGAAAUCCCCGGGCUCAACCUGGGAACUGCAUUCGAAACUGGCAGGCUAGAGUCUUGUAGAGGGGU
This 317-nucleotide ribosomal RNA is filed under the name uncultured Enterobacteriaceae bacterium. RNAcentral describes it as "bacterial SSU rRNA". It matches the Rfam family "Bacterial small subunit ribosomal RNA", at positions 355 to 660 of the family's 1533-position model. Lineage: Bacteria; Pseudomonadati; Pseudomonadota; Gammaproteobacteria; Enterobacterales; Enterobacteriaceae. The record is from RNAcentral.